CACCUCGUGGGACUUCACCUUCCGUUGCCAUCCACAUCUGUGGGAUUCAAAAUAAAUAUCACACUUUAAACACAUCCUGAAAGAGAGUAAUGGUCCUCGAAUCCACACCGUUUGCAGGAGCUGCUGCGCAGGGCUUCAAACGCAAUGUUUGUCCCCACUGGACAUUUGUAGUUCAUCCCGAGGCGACUGGCAGCCAUCUUCAUGUUGGUCGAGAAGCCUUCCCAGCUGCUGAGGAUGGAACCUUUUGAUGGUCAUCAAAGAAGUGAGAGUUCAGGGCGCCGAUGGAAUUUUUGAAAUGCGACACAGCCGACAGCUUUUCAGCCGAGUCUCCGUAAAGACGCGACUUUGCCACCCUGAUGAACCAACUGGAAAGAACAAAAGUGUUUGUCAAUACACACUUGCAAUCUCAGCACUGAAGGCCUGGUUCUGCACCUCCCGCAUGAAGGGCUCCAGCGACAGCAGACUUUGCAGGACCACGUUCAUGUAGCAGCUGUUGCCAAUGUUUGGCAGCCUGCAACACAACAGCAGUGUGAGAAUAGGCAUAAUGUCAUGUCAAGGAAAAGGUCAAAGGCCUUCCAGAGGGUCGACUGAGGGAGGACGGACAGUGCAACCUGCUGCUGCAGCGGCCUGUAGGAAGAGAAGAGACGGUGAGCAUCAUGGAGGGAAGGAUGGAAAUGGAAGAGCCGGGUGAACGGAGAAGAGGAAGACAAUGUUCCUGCAUGUGACGAAGAGGAAGUGCUUCAUGGAAAUAUCACACCGACACUCAGAGUUCACUUGAGUAUCGAAGCAGGUCAUGAGGAAAACAUCAAUGAAAAAGGAAGGUACCUGACCACCGGAGUGACUCGUCUCCCAGUACAGGUGAAGAGUUCCUAAAAACAAACAAACGGAGGAUUCACUGAUGGAUAAAAUACAGAGGAACAUUUUAACGAGACAAUAGCGAUGUGACUUACCGACGAAGAGUUCGGAAUCCAGAGCAUCUUGCUGCGUUGAAAGGCGAUGGCGAAGUUCGGACACGAAUAACCAGAUUUUCCACGACAAAUGAGAAACUAACCGUCAAUAAUUGCCCGGUCUUCUUUUAUUGGCACUUUAGUUGUCACGUGACGUACGAAUG
Synchiropus splendidus (mandarinfish) is the source of this 1111-nucleotide long non-coding RNA. RefSeq lists it as uncharacterized. The record is from RefSeq and is a predicted model, not a curated record. Lineage: Eukaryota; Metazoa; Chordata; Actinopteri; Syngnathiformes; Callionymidae. The transcript is spliced from 5 exons.